Molecule: ribosomal RNA, 465 nt
Filed under: Vreelandella stevensii
Lineage: Bacteria; Pseudomonadati; Pseudomonadota; Gammaproteobacteria; Oceanospirillales; Halomonadaceae
Description: partial 16S ribosomal RNA
Rfam family: Bacterial small subunit ribosomal RNA
Source: RNAcentral
CCUACGGGUGGCAGCAGUGGGGAAUAUUGGACAAUGGGGGGAACCCUGAUCCAGCCAUGCCGCGUGUGUGAAGAAGGCCCUCGGGUUGUAAAGCACUUUCAGUGAGGAAGAACGCCUGGUGGUUAAUACCCAUCAGGAAAGACAUCACUCACAGAAGAAGCACCGGCUAACUCCGUGCCAGCAGCCGCGGUAAUACGGAGGGUGCGAGCGUUGAUCGGAAUUACUGGGCGUAAAGCGCGCGUAGGUGGCUUGAUAAGCCGGUUGUGAAAGCCCCGGGCUCAACCUGGGAACGGCAUCCGGAACUGUCAAGCUAGAGUGCAGGAGAGGAAGGUAGAAUUCCCGGUGUAGCGGUGAAAUGCGUAGAGAUCGGGAGGAAUACCAGUGGCGAAGGCGGCCUUCUGGACUGACACUGACACUGAGGUGCGAAAGCGUGGGUAGCAAACAGGAUUAGAUACCCCGGUAGUC